RNAcentral lists this ribosomal RNA (283 nucleotides) under Salmonella enterica subsp. enterica serovar Kentucky. RNAcentral's name for it is "partial 23S ribosomal RNA". It matches the Rfam family "Bacterial large subunit ribosomal RNA", at positions 2648 to 2925 of the family's 2925-position model. The record is from RNAcentral. Lineage: Bacteria; Pseudomonadati; Pseudomonadota; Gammaproteobacteria; Enterobacterales; Enterobacteriaceae. RNAcentral also lists the same sequence under 1 other name.
UGGGCGCUGGAGAACUGAGGGGGGCUGCUCCUAGUACGAGAGGACCGGAGUGGACGCAUCACUGGUGUUCGGGUUGUCAUGCCAAUGGCACUGCCCGGUAGCUAAAUGCGGAAGAGAUAAGUGCUGAAAGCAUCUAAGCACGAAACUUGCCCCGAGAUGAGUUCUCCCUGAGACUUAGAGUCUCCUGAAGGAACGUUGAAGACGACGACGUUGAUAGGCCGGGUGUGUAAGCGCAGCGAUGCGUUGAGCUAACCGGUACUAAUGAACCGUGAGGCUUAACCUU